GAUGAAGAACGUAGCGAAAUGCGAUACGUAGUGUGAAUUGCAGAAUUCCGUGAACCAUCGAAUCUUUGAACGCAAAUUGCGCUCGAGGCCUCGGCUAAGAGCAUGUCUGGCUCAGCGUCGGCUUACUACCCUCAAUCAAUUACCUUGUGAUGAUUGGUUGGAGCUGGCUUUCCGGUGUUCCGAUCAGGUUGUCGGUCAGCUGAAAAACAUUCGCGCUGUGGAAGUCGCUUUCCCUUCAAAAAGGAAAGCCGAGUUCCGAUUUGGUAGGUGACCUUUGCCGGUUGCAUGCCUUCGUUGCUCGUUUUGGCUUUCAUGAUAGCGUGUGCAGGACGCCUUUUUGGCUUUCGACCUGAGCUCAGGCAAGAACACCCGCUGAACUUAAGCAUAUCAAUAAGCGAGGA
RNAcentral lists this unclassified non-coding RNA (401 nucleotides) under soil metagenome. RNAcentral describes it as "partial contains 5.8S ribosomal RNA, internal transcribed spacer 2, and large subunit ribosomal RNA". The stretch from base 1 to 120 matches the Rfam family "5.8S ribosomal RNA", at positions 35 to 154 of the family's 154-position model. The record is from RNAcentral.